Long non-coding RNA from Puntigrus tetrazona (Sumatra barb), 593 nucleotides. RefSeq lists it as uncharacterized. Lineage: Eukaryota; Metazoa; Chordata; Actinopteri; Cypriniformes; Cyprinidae. The record is from RefSeq and is a predicted model, not a curated record. The transcript has 3 exons.
CGCAAUCACAGGUAGAUUUAAACGACCGUCUGAACGUUCAAUUACCCAAUUCUUUCGUCGUCAUGUAUCGCGACCGAAACGUAGGCUAUCAUAAUGCGUAUGUCUCGCGCCCCGUAAGCCGCGAGUACGCGGUCAAAGUCAUUAAUAACGCCGAGAUGAAGACAGAUACGCGGUCAAACGAGGAUACGCACCCUCCGCGACGUCACGGUCUCAUAAAGCGAAGUGUCACUGGCUGUUUGCAUCGCAACACUCUUUGUCCGGACCACUGCGACACUGCGUAAAAGUCGAGUCGGAGACCGCGUCGCGUGCUAGAACGCCCGUCUCUGAGCAAGACGUCACCCUUUCAAUCAGACUGACCUCUGACCUCGGCUGAGAACUGGGCGGAAUGUCUGGUUAUGAAAAGCUGCAGUUGUUGGUCCAGGUUACAUUCUGACACACUGAUGUCCCAGGAACGGAUACCUGCAGCUCCAGGACUUUGGCCAGGUAUCUCAGGAGCUCGGCGUUGGCCUCUCCGUCGGUCGGCGGGGCAGCGAUGGCGACCCCCACCGCCUCCUCAGACACAUCUGUCACAAAACAGCGCGCAUGGUGCAUGG